RNAcentral lists this ribosomal RNA (495 nucleotides) under uncultured bacterium. RNAcentral's name for it is "partial 16S ribosomal RNA". It matches the Rfam family "Bacterial small subunit ribosomal RNA", at positions 28 to 507 of the family's 1533-position model. The record is from RNAcentral.
GACGAACGCUGGCGGCGUGCCUAAUACAUGCAAGUAGAACGCUGAAGGAGGAGCUUGCUUCUCCGGAUGAGUUGCGAACGGGUGAGUAACGCGUAGGUAACCUGCCUGGUAGCGGGGGAUAACUAUUGGAAACGAUAGCUAAUACCGCAUAACAGUAGAUGUUGCAUGACAUUUGCUUAAAAGGUGCAAUUGCAUCACUACCAGAUGGACCUGCGUUGUAUUAGCUAGUUGGUGAGGUAACGGCUCACCAAGGCGACGAUACAUAGCCGACCUGAGAGGGGGAUCGGCCACACUGGGACUGAGACACGGCCCAGACUCCUACGGGAGGCAGCAGGAGGGAAUCUUCGGCAAUAGACGGAAGUCUGACCGAGCAACGCCGCGUGAGUGAAGAAGGGUUUCGGAUCGUAAAGCUCUGUUGUAAGAGAAGAACGAGUGUGAGAGUGGAAAGUUCACACUGUGACGGUAUCUUACCAGAAAGGGACGGCUAACUACGUG